AUGCAGCUCAACAGAGCUUUUGCAUUCCUUUGCCUGGUGAUUUCAGUGGGUGCGCAGAGGAGUCACAGACUGACGUGCUAUCUGGAUGUUUUAACACAGCACACACAUGAAGGGCCGUGCUCUCACAUCAUCCUCCCCUUGACCUCCACUGAUGGCGACCUUUACCUCCAAAGCUUGUCGGAUGAUGACAGCGUUACUCUUAGAAAAAUGAAGGAGAGAAAUCCAGCUUUGAAGAUUUUGCUUGGAUUGGAAGUCAGAUCAUCAAGGUAUGUGGACUUCAUUUCCAUUCUGCCUCCUCAGCUCAAAAAAGAUGGACCAUAUAUGGACCAGCAAGUUGACCUACAAAAGCUCAAUCUAGCUAUGCCUGCUUUUCUACGCCGGUCACGAGGAAGGCAUCACCAUGGGGAUCACUUCAAGCAUGAUGACAUGAAUACAGAGACAGGAAAGAAGGAUCACAUCCAUGUUUUGGGCUUAUACCUGGGCGAUCAGGUGUGUCAGGCCAUUAAAAGUGGACAAGAGCGAUUCAUUACUUUAACAAGUCUCUCAGAUGAGCAAACUCUUGUUGCGGAGGUGCUCCAGAAAGGCUUUGGUGGCAUAGCGGUUGUCUUCAUAGAUCUGGACGUCUUCUAUAACUCCAUAUGUGCACACCUUACUCAGGAUGAACAAGUGAUUGUUGAAUCAAAGGUGAUUUUGCAUUCACAUCAUGGACACAGACAUCAUGAGCAUGGUGGUCAUCAUCACAGCAAGAACCAUCACCACAGCCGCCACCACCAUCAUCACUCUCUUCUUCCUUAUGGCAGCCAUGGUCACCAACUCCAUGGUCACUAUCACCAUGGACAUCAUCAACAUGGACAUGGGCAUCAUCACCAUGGACAUCAUCACCAUGGACAUCAUCACCAUGGUCGCCGUCAUCACCAUCACCACCACCAUCUUCCAAUAAUUCCUCAAAGCAACAUAACCAUGGAAGAACGGCAUGGUGUGGAGUGAUCUUAAUAUGUUAUACAUAAAUUUCAUCUGAUGAAUGUUAAUGAGGGACGUCCUAGAAAUUUGGUGUUUUAAGCUUGCCAGGUUCCUUUAUAUAUAUAUAUCCCAAGCUCUUAUAUAUAUAUAUAAUCAUACAUUUUCCACACGAAGUUCUUAUUAGUUUAGUAAAUCUGAAUGUUGUUUCUUUGAUUCCUAUUUUUGUCUUAUAAUAAUAUAAUAAUUGUGGAGGUAAUGUUAAAAAUUAUGGUAAAUGAUAAAUAAUUUACCAUUUAAAUGCAUAUAAAUACUAUAUAUAAUGUAUAAAUACAAUAUGAUACAUAUUUUUAAUUAGAUUAAUGAGAAUUAGACUUUUUGCAUUAUAGCGUUGGCAAUGAUAUUGCAGUAUAGUAAUGUGAAUACAUUUUUUGUAAUACUGCAAUGAGAAUAAUAUCUUAUUUUCUGCAUUGUAGUACUGAGAAUUAAGAUUUCUUUGCAUUCCAAUAAUUUGGACUAAUUUCGUUUUGCACUAUGGUAAUGAGGUUUUUGUUUUGCAUGAAGUUUUCACAUUUUUACUAAUUGCUUGUUAUGAGAACUUCACAAAUCAUAUGAUUUUUUUCAGUGUUAAAACAAGCUUAUUGUGUGUCAGAGCAGAUCGAUGCAGCAUUAUGAAAUAAAUAUGUAGCCUAAAAGUUUCA
Cyprinus carpio (common carp) is the source of this 1658-nucleotide long non-coding RNA. NCBI's taxonomy places the organism in Eukaryota, Metazoa, Chordata, Actinopteri, Cypriniformes, Cyprinidae. The record is from Ensembl.